GUGCCUUUUGUAGAAUGAACCGGCGAGUUACGAUAUGAUGCGAGGUUAAGUUGAAGAGACGGAGCCGUAGGGAAACCGAGUCUUAAUAGGGCGCCAUAGUAUCAUGUUGUAGACCCGAAACCAUGUGACCUACCCAUGAGCAGGUUGAAGGUGAGGUAAAACUCACUGGAGGACCGAACCAGGGCACGUUGAAAAGUGCUUGGAUGACUUGUGGGUAGCGGAGAAAUUCCAAACGAACUUGGAGAUAGCUGGUUCUCUCCGAAAUAGCUUUAGGGCUAGCGUCGAUGUUAAGUCUCUUGGAGGUAAGAGCA
RNAcentral lists this ribosomal RNA (311 nucleotides) under Listeria monocytogenes. RNAcentral's name for it is "bacterial LSU rRNA". It matches the Rfam family "Bacterial large subunit ribosomal RNA", at positions 601 to 909 of the family's 2925-position model. The record is from RNAcentral. Lineage: Bacteria; Bacillati; Bacillota; Bacilli; Caryophanales; Listeriaceae.